UGAGUUGCCAAUUUGAAUCUCCAUUAAUUUCUUCUCAUGAUCUUAGAUUUUUUGCCCAAGAUCUUCUUCUACACUUAUUUUUCUGCUUGGAGCAUAUGAUUUUAACCUCCCAAGAUUGAUCAAUGAGAUAAGAGCAUGUUUACCAGAAGGAUUUUGAAGAGCUGGUUGCUGAGAGUGGUGAGAUUGAACCACUUGAGGAGUUGGUUUUCACUGCUGCUACUUAGUAGUAUGCUAGAGCUGUUGUACCAUAGUAGUGAGAGCUGAACUUGUUGUACCAAAAGAUUGAAUUGCUGAGGAUUGAUAGCAA
Molecule: long non-coding RNA, 307 nt
Filed under: Elaeis guineensis (African oil palm)
Lineage: Eukaryota; Viridiplantae; Streptophyta; Magnoliopsida; Arecales; Arecaceae
Description: long non-coding RNA (EGUI_LNC035813)
Source: RNAcentral